Molecule: unclassified non-coding RNA, 332 nt
Filed under: soil metagenome
Description: partial contains 5.8S ribosomal RNA, internal transcribed spacer 2, and large subunit ribosomal RNA
Rfam family: 5.8S ribosomal RNA (bases 1-120)
Source: RNAcentral
GAUGAAGAACGCAGCGAAAUGCGAUAAGUAGUGUGAAUUGCAGAAUUCAGUGAAUCAUCGAAUCUUUGAACGCACAUUGCGCCCUUUGGUAUUCCUUAGGGCAUGCCUGUUCGAGCGUCAUUUAAACCUUCAAGCUCAGCUUGGUGUUGGGUGACUGUCCGCUUCACCGCGGACUCGCCUCAAAAUUAUUGGCGGCCGGUACAUUGGCUUCGAGCGCAGCAGAAACGCGUACUCGGGGACCGGGCGCCCGCUCCCAGAAGCCAACCCACCCAGUUUGACCUCGGAUCAGGUAGGGAUACCCGCUGAACUUAAGCAUAUCAAUAAGCGGAGGA